CUCACUUGCACUGCCCAGCUCUGCAGGGUCAAAGGUCACAUCUAGGAUUCCAGAACAUUCUCUCAGGUGUUCAGAGGCUUCAAAGAGCAGAGAGGACUCGGACAGUGCAAGGCUGUUCAUACGCGCUACUACUAUGAGACACUGCACAGUCACAUGCACAUUACAUCAUAUGGACGCUCUUGCUGGGUUACUGGACACACAGCCAUGGAUGAAAGCAAUGCAACUAGGAAUAAAAGCUGGAGGCAUCAAACACACUGAAAAACCAGCGCUUGAAAGAGACAAGCUUCUGAAGAGACACAACUACCCAUUGUGAACUGGGUGAUGUUCUGAAGGAUGCCAACACACAUGGACACACACACACACACACACGUGAUGAACUACAGGAACACACCCAGUGCUGUGAAUAUAACAGAAGUAAGUCUACACACACACACACACACAUCUGGCUGUGGAGUAUCCUGUGUCGGCACGUCUGGGUGCAGAAAUCCACAGAGGGUAGAAGGCACUCACUGGGACUACAGUUGAAAUAACGUACUGAGAGGAAGAGGAAUAGCCAAAAUGGGAGUAAAGGAAAAUCAUCCCUGUGAAAGGACCAGCAGGGGGCAGUACUGAGCUUAACACACUUACACAGGCUGCUCUAGCGGCCAACAUGCCUGGGCAUUGCUGUAUAAUUUCAUUUAAUGUAUUUAAUAUAAUGAUUAUACAUUUAUUUACUUAGCUUACAAGACUCAUAGUAAGAGGCUUCUCAAAUAACAUGUA
Alosa alosa (allis shad) is the source of this 759-nucleotide long non-coding RNA. RefSeq lists it as uncharacterized. The record is from RefSeq and is a predicted model, not a curated record. The transcript has 3 exons. NCBI's taxonomy places the organism in Eukaryota, Metazoa, Chordata, Actinopteri, Clupeiformes, Clupeidae.